GACAUAGGUGGCAAACGUUAUCCGGAAUUAUUGGGCGUAAAGAGCUCGUAGGCGGUGUGUCGCGUCGGCCGUGAAAACCUGGGGCUUAACUCUGGGCGUGCGGUCGAUACGGGCAUCACUAGAGUUCGGCAGGGGAGACUGGAAUUCCUGGUGUAGCGGUGAAAUGCGCAGAUAUCAGGAGGAACACCGGUGGCGAAGGCGCUCUGCUGGACCAUAACUGACACUCAGGGACGAAAGCUAGGGGAGCGAAUGGG
RNAcentral lists this ribosomal RNA (254 nucleotides) under uncultured bacterium. RNAcentral's name for it is "partial 16S ribosomal RNA". It matches the Rfam family "Bacterial small subunit ribosomal RNA", at positions 524 to 776 of the family's 1533-position model. The record is from RNAcentral.